AUCCGCCAGAAAAUUACGGGCGAAAGCCUAAAACUCAAAAGACUUGACGGUGUCCCAACCUCCCUAGAGGAGCCUGUUCCAUAAUCGACAAUCCACGAUACACCUAACCACCCCUAGAUUUAACCUCAGCCUAUAUACCGCCGUCGAACAGCUUACCUUAAAUAGACCACAAGUAAGCCUAAAAGUAAUAUACUAACAAGUCAGGUCAAGGUGUAGCUCAUGGGGUGGAGGAAAUGGGCUACAUUAUUUAACAUAAAUACACGAAUUUAAAUUACCUGAAAAAUAAAAUGAAGGCGGAUUUAGCAGUAAUUUAAGCAAGAAUACUUAAAUUAA
This 333-nucleotide ribosomal RNA is filed under the name Anadia buenaventura. Its description in RNAcentral is "partial 12S ribosomal RNA". It matches the Rfam family "Bacterial small subunit ribosomal RNA", at positions 867 to 1366 of the family's 1533-position model. The record is from RNAcentral. Lineage: Eukaryota; Metazoa; Chordata; Lepidosauria; Squamata; Gymnophthalmidae.